GGGUUGUGAGGUUAAGCGACUAAGCGUACACGGUGGAUGCCCUGGCAGUCAGAGGCGAUGAAGGACGUGCUAAUCUGCGAUAAGCGCCGGUAAGGUGAUAUGAACCGUUAUAACCGGCGAUUUCCGAAUGGGGAAACCCAGUGUGAUUCGUCACACUAUCAUUAACUGAAUCCAUAGGUUAAUGAGGCGAACCGGGGGAACUGAAACAUCUAAGUACCCCGAGGAAAAGAAAUCAACCGAGAUUCCCCCAGUAGCGGCGAGCGAACGGGGAGGAGCCCAGAGCCUGAAUCAGCAUGUGUGUUAGUGGAAGCGUCUGGAAAGGUGCGCGAUACAGGGUGACAGCCCCGUACACAAAAGCGCAUGUGCUGUGAGCUCGAUGAGUAGGGCGGGACACGUGGUAUCCUGUCUGAAUAUGGGGGACCAUCCUCCAAGGCUAAAUACUCCUGACUGACCGAUAGUGAACCAGUACCGUGAGGGAAAGGCGAAAAGAACCCCGGCGAGGGGAGUGAAAAAGAACCUGAAACCGUGUACGUACAAGCAGUGGGAGCACAGGUUUACCUGUGUGACUGCGUACCUUUUGUAUAAUGGGUCAGCGACUUAUAUUCUGUAGCAAGGUUAACCGUAUAGGGGAGCCGUAGGGAAACCGAGUCUUAACCGGGCGUUAAGUUGCAGGGUAUAGACCCGAAACCCGGUGAUCUAGCCAUGGGCAGGUUGAAGGUUGGGUAACACUAACUGGAGGACCGAACCGACUAAUGUUGAAAAAUUAGCGGAUGACCUGUGGCUGGGGGUGAAAGGCCAAUCAAACCGGGAGAUAGCUGGUUCUCCCCGAAAGCUAUUUAGGUAGCGCCUCGUGAAUUCAUCUCCGGGGGUAGAGCACUGUUUCGGCUAGGGGGCCAUCCCGGCUUACCAACCCGAUGCAAACUGCGAAUACCGGAGAAUGUUAUCACGGGAGACACACGGCGGGUGCUAACGUCCGUCGUGAAGAGGGAAACAACCCAGACCGCCAGCUAAGGUCCCAAAGUCAUGGUUAAGUGGGAAACGAUGUGGGAAGGCCCAGACAGCCAGGAUGUUGGCUUAGAAGCAGCCAUCAUUUAAAGAAAGCGUAAUAGCUCACUGGUCGAGUCGGCCUGCGCGGAAGAUGUAACGGGGCUAAACCAUGCACCGAAGCUGCGGCAGCGAACGUAUCACUUAAAGCGAUUCAGCGGGUUACGAUUGACGGAGCGAAGCGACGUCAAAGCGUAUACAAAGUCGAGUCGGUUUAAGGAUACGUUCGUUGGGUAGGGGAGCGUUCUGUAAGCCCGUGAAGGUGGCCUGUGAGGGUUGCUGGAGGUAUCAGAAGUGCGAAUGCUGACAUAAGUAACGAUAAAGCGGGUGAAAAGCCCGCUCGCCGGAAGACCAAGGGUUCCUGUCCAACGUUAAUCGGGGCAGGGUGAGUCGACCCCUAAGGCGAGGCCGAAAGGCGUAGUCGAUGGGAAACGGGUUAAUAUUCCCGUACUUGGUGUUACUGCGAAGGGGGACGGAGAAGGCUAUGUUGGCCGGGCGACGGUUGUCCCGGUUUAAGCGUGUAGGUGUGUGUUCCAGGUAAAUCCGGUUCACUUUAACACUGAGGCGUGACGACGAGGCACUACGGUGCUGAAGCAACAAAUGCCCUGCUUCCAGGAAAAGCCUCUAAGCAUCAGGUAACAUCAAAUCGUACCCCAAACCGACACAGGUGGUCAGGUAGAGAAUACCAAGGCGCUUGAGAGAACUCGGGUGAAGGAACUAGGCAAAAUGGUGCCGUAACUUCGGGAGAAGGCACGCUGACACGUAGGUGAAGUGAUUUACUCAUGGAGCUGAAGUCAGUCGAAGAUACCAGCUGGCUGCAACUGUUUAUUAAAAACACAGCACUGUGCAAACACGAAAGUGGACGUAUACGGUGUGACGCCUGCCCGGUGCCGGAAGGUUAAUUGAUGGGGUCAGCGCAAGCGAAGCUCCUGAUCGAAGCCCCGGUAAACGGCGGCCGUAACUAUAACGGUCCUAAGGUAGCGAAAUUCCUUGUCGGGUAAGUUCCGACCUGCACGAAUGGCGUAAUGAUGGCCAGGCUGUCUCCACCCGAGACUCAGUGAAAUUGAACUCGCUGUGAAGAUGCAGUGUACCCGCGGCAAGACGGAAAGACCCCGUGAACCUUUACUAUAGCUUGACACUGAACAUUGAGCCUUGAUGUGUAGGAUAGGUGGGAGGCUUUGAAGUGUGGACGCCAGUCUGCAUGGAGCCGACCUUGAAAUACCACCCUUUAAUGUUUGAUGUUCUAACGUGGACCCGUAAUCCGGGUUGCGGACAGUGUCUGGUGGGUAGUUUGACUGGGGCGGUCUCCUCCUAAAGAGUAACGGAGGAGCACGAAGGUUGGCUAAUCCUGGUCGGACAUCAGGAGGUUAGUGCAAUGGCAUAAGCCAGCUUGACUGCGAGCGUGACGGCGCGAGCAGGUGCGAAAGCAGGUCAUAGUGAUCCGGUGGUUCUGAAUGGAAGGGCCAUCGCUCAACGGAUAAAAGGUACUCCGGGGAUAACAGGCUGAUACCGCCCAAGAGUUCAUAUCGACGGCGGUGUUUGGCACCUCGAUGUCGGCUCAUCACAUCCUGGGGCUGAAGUAGGUCCCAAGGGUAUGGCUGUUCGCCAUUUAAAGUGGUACGCGAGCUGGGUUUAGAACGUCGUGAGACAGUUCGGUCCCUAUCUGCCGUGGGCGCUGGAGAACUGAGGGGGGCUGCUCCUAGUACGAGAGGACCGGAGUGGACGCAUCACUGGUGUUCGGGUUGUCAUGCCAAUGGCACUGCCCGGUAGCUAAAUGCGGAAGAGAUAAGUGCUGAAAGCAUCUAAGCACGAAACUUGCCCCGAGAUGAGUUCUCCCUGAGACUUAGAGUCUCCUGAAGGAACGUUGAAGACGACGACGUUGAUAGGCCGGGUGUGUAAGCGCAGCGAUGCGUUGAGCUAACCGGUACUAAUGAACCGUGAGGCUUAACCUUACAACGCCGAAG
RNAcentral lists this ribosomal RNA (3008 nucleotides) under Salmonella enterica subsp. enterica serovar 4,[5],12:i:-. RNAcentral's name for it is "23S ribosomal RNA". It matches the Rfam family "Bacterial large subunit ribosomal RNA". The record is from RNAcentral. Lineage: Bacteria; Pseudomonadati; Pseudomonadota; Gammaproteobacteria; Enterobacterales; Enterobacteriaceae.